This 484-nucleotide ribosomal RNA is filed under the name uncultured bacterium. Its description in RNAcentral is "bacterial SSU rRNA". It matches the Rfam family "Bacterial small subunit ribosomal RNA", at positions 26 to 507 of the family's 1533-position model. The record is from RNAcentral.
AGAUUGAACGCUGGCGGAAUGCUUUACACAUGCAAGUCGAACGGCAGCACGGGGCAACCUGGUGGCGAGUGGCGAACGGGUGAGUAAUACAUCGGAACGUGCCCAAUCGUGGGGGAUAACGUAGCGAAAGUUACGCUAAUACCGCAUACGAUCUACGGAUGAAAGCGGGGGAUCGCAAGACCUCGCGCGAGUGGAGCGGCCGAUGUCAGAUUAGGUAGUUGGUGGGGUAAAGGCUCACCAAGCCAACGAUCUGUAGCUGGUCUGAGAGGACGACCAGCCACACUGGAACUGAGACACGGUCCAGACUCCUACGGGAGGCAGCAGUGGGGAAUUUUGGACAAUGGGCGCAAGCCUGAUCCAGCCAUUCCGCGUGCAGGAUGAAGGCCUUCGGGUUGUAAACUGCUUUUGUACGGAACGAAACGGCGAGCUCUAAUACAGUUUGCUAAUGACGGUACCGUAAGAAUAAGCACCGGCUAACUACGUG